GGGCCCGCACAAGCGGUGGAGCAUGUGGUUUAAUUCGAUGCAACGCGAAGAACCUUACCUACUCUUGACAUCCAGAGAACUUUUCAGAGAUGAAUUGGUGCCUUCGGGAACUCUGAGACAGGUGCUGCAUGGCUGUCGUCAGCUCGUGUUGUGAAAUGUUGGGUUAAGUCCCGCAACGAGCGCAACCCUUAUCCUUGUUUGCCAGCGAGUAAUGUCGGGAACUCCAGGGAGACUGCCGGUGAUAAACCGGAGGAAGGUGGGGACGACGUCAAGUCAUCAUGGCCCUUACGAGUAGGGCUACACACGUGCUACAAUGGCGCAUACAGAGGGCAGCCAACUUGCGAAAGUGAGCGAAUCCCAAAAAGUGCGUCGUAGUCCGGAUUGGAGUCUGCAACUCGACUCCAUG
This 406-nucleotide ribosomal RNA is filed under the name uncultured bacterium. Its description in RNAcentral is "bacterial SSU rRNA". It matches the Rfam family "Bacterial small subunit ribosomal RNA", at positions 917 to 1322 of the family's 1533-position model. The record is from RNAcentral.